RNAcentral lists this ribosomal RNA (448 nucleotides) under uncultured organism. RNAcentral's name for it is "partial 16S ribosomal RNA". It matches the Rfam family "Bacterial small subunit ribosomal RNA", at positions 334 to 796 of the family's 1533-position model. The record is from RNAcentral.
CACUCCUGCGGGAGGCAGCAGUGGGGAAUUUUACGCAAUGGGGGAAACCCUGACGUAGCGACACCGCGUGAGCGAAGAAGCCCUUUGGGGUGUAAAGCUCUGUCAGCUGGAACGAAAACAAUGACGGUACCAGCAGAGGAAGCAUCGGCUAACUACGUGCCAGCAGCCGCGGUAAGACGUAGGAUGCGAGCGUUGUCCGGAUUUAUUGGGCGUAAAGAGUUCGUAGGUGGUUUGUUAAGUUUGGUGUUAAAGAUCGGGGCUCAACCCUGGGACUGCACUGAAUACUGGCAGACUCGAGUGUGGUAGAGGCUAGUGGAAUUCCCAGUGUAGCGGUGAAAUGCGUAGAUAUUGGGAAGAACACCGGUGGCGUAGGCGACUAGCUGGGCCAUAACUGACGCUGAGGAACGAAAGCCAGGGGAGCGAAUGGGAUUAGAUACCCCUGUAGUCC